AGAACGAACGCUGGCGGCAUGCCUAACACAUGCAAGUCGAACGCUUUUGGGGCUUCGGUCCCAAAGGAGUGGCGCACGGGUGAGUAGCGCGUGGGAACCUGCCCUGUUGUGGGGGAUAACCGAGGGAAACUUCGGCUAAUACCGCAUACGCCCGGGGGAAACUCCGGGGAAAGAUUUAUCGCAGCAGGAGGGGCCCGCGUCGGAUUAGGUAGUUGGUGGGGUAACGGCCCACCAAGCCUGUGAUCCGUAGCUGGUCUGAGAGGAUGAUCAGCCACACUGGGACUGAGACACGGCCCAGACUCCUACGGGAGGCAGCAGUGGGGAAUAUUGGACAAUGGGCGAAAGCCUGAUCCAGCCAUGCCGCGUGAGUGAUGAAGGCCUUAGGGUUGUAAAGCUCUUUCACCCACGACGAUAAUGACGGUAGUGGGAGAAGAACGCCCCGGCUAACUUCGUGCCAGCAGCCGC
RNAcentral lists this ribosomal RNA (465 nucleotides) under uncultured bacterium. RNAcentral describes it as "SSU rRNA". It matches the Rfam family "Bacterial small subunit ribosomal RNA", at positions 26 to 518 of the family's 1533-position model. The record is from RNAcentral.